ACUGGGCACAGUAGCCUAUGCUUGUAGUCCCAGCUUCUAGGGAGGCUGAGGCAGGAGGAUCACUGGGGUCCAGGAGUUCUGGGCUGUAGUAUGCUAUGCCCAUCCAGUAUCCUUACUACAUUCAAUAUCAAUAUGUAACUUCCUAGGAGGUAAGGAGACCACCAGGUUACCUCGGGACAGGUGAACCGGCCCAGGUCAGAAAUGGAACAGGUCAAACUCCUGGGCUGAUCAGUAGUGGGAUGGUGUCUGUGAGUGGCUACUAUACUCUAACCUGGAACAUAGUGAGACCCACAUCUCUU
Otolemur garnettii (small-eared galago) is the source of this 299-nucleotide non-coding RNA. The record is from Rfam. Lineage: Eukaryota; Metazoa; Chordata; Mammalia; Primates; Galagidae.